GGGRUCGCCUGUUUUUCAAAAACAUAGCUUAAAGCGAUGUAUUKUAMGUAAUUUCUGCCCGGUGAGUUUUUAACGGCCGCAGUACCCUGACUGUGCUAAGGUAGCAUAAUAAAUUGAUUUUUAAUUGAAGUCUAGAAUGAAUGGAGAAACGGAGAUAAUCUGUCUUAUAAAAAAAUUUUUUAAAUUACUUAUAAGGUGAAAAUGCCUUAAAAAAGAAAAUAGACGAGAAGACCCUAAGAAUUUUAAGAAAUAUAAUUAUUUAUUUUUAUUAAAUCUUUUUACUGGGGCGGUGAAGGAAUUAAAGUUAACAUCCUUAACAUCCUUAUGUUUUAUUAAGCUUUGCUGAAAUUAAAUAAAUUACCUUAGGGAUAACAGCAUAAUUUUGUAAAAAAGUUUGUGACCUCGAUGUUGGACUAGGAAAUUUUAAGACUAGMUGUCAUAAAGAAAAGUUCYGKUCGAACAUUUUUCUCCUACAUGAUCUGAKUYMARACCGKA
This 495-nucleotide ribosomal RNA is filed under the name Phyllocaulis variegatus. RNAcentral's name for it is "partial 16S ribosomal RNA". It matches the Rfam family "Bacterial large subunit ribosomal RNA", at positions 1790 to 2620 of the family's 2925-position model. Lineage: Eukaryota; Metazoa; Mollusca; Gastropoda; Systellommatophora; Veronicellidae. The record is from RNAcentral.